This 493-nucleotide ribosomal RNA is filed under the name uncultured bacterium. Its description in RNAcentral is "partial 16S ribosomal RNA". It matches the Rfam family "Bacterial small subunit ribosomal RNA", at positions 28 to 507 of the family's 1533-position model. The record is from RNAcentral.
GACGAACGCUGGCGGCGUGCUUAACACAUGCAAGUCGAACGGUGAAGCACCUUCCUUUUGGUGGGUGUGGAUGAGUGGCGAACGGGUGAGUAACACGUGAGUAACCUGCCCCCUUCUUCUGGAUAACCGCAUGAAAGUGUGGCUAAUACGGGAUAUUCUGGGUCUGUCGCAUGGCGGGCCUGGGAAAGAUAUUGUUUCGGUGGGGGAUGGGCUCGCGGUCUAUCAGCUUGUUGGUGGGGUGAUGGCUUACCAAGGCGGUGACGGGUAGCCGGCCUGAGAGGGUGGACGGUCACACUGGGACUGAGACACGGCCCAGACUCCUACGGGAGGCAGCAGUGGGGAAUAUUGCACAAUGGGCGCAAGCCUGAUGCAGCGACGCCGCGUGAGGGAUGGAGGCCUUCGGGUUGUAAACCUCUUUCGCCAGUGAAGCAGGCCUGUCCCUUUUGUGGGUGGGUUGACGGUAGCUGGAUAAGAAGCGCCGGCUAACUACGUG